This 326-nucleotide ribosomal RNA is filed under the name Protodrilus sp. 1 KW107. RNAcentral describes it as "partial 16S ribosomal RNA". It matches the Rfam family "Bacterial large subunit ribosomal RNA", at positions 1950 to 2524 of the family's 2925-position model. Lineage: Eukaryota; Metazoa; Annelida; Polychaeta; Protodrilidae. The record is from RNAcentral.
GCAAAGGUAGCAUAAUCAUUUGUCUUCUAAUUAAAGACUGGUAUGAAGGGGAAAACUCUCUACAACUUUAUUUAAUAUAAAAACUUAAAUUUCUAGCUGAACGAAGAAGUUCAGAUUCAACAGAAAGACCAAAAGACCCUAUAGAGCUUCAUGUUCAACGGCUCAACUCUCCGGCAGACAUUUCGUUGGGGCAACGAUGAACUUCUCACUCUUAUCUUUCACUGCCCCAAGCUCAUAUAAAACCUACCCAUAAAAUAGUAACAGCUACCUUAGGGAUAACAGUCUAAUUUCUCCUUCUAGCCCACAUUUGCGGAGAAGAUUGGCAC